RNAcentral lists this ribosomal RNA (497 nucleotides) under uncultured bacterium. RNAcentral describes it as "partial 16S ribosomal RNA". It matches the Rfam family "Bacterial small subunit ribosomal RNA", at positions 28 to 507 of the family's 1533-position model. The record is from RNAcentral.
GAUGAACGCUGGCGGCGUGCCUAAUACAUGCAAGUCGAGCGAACAGACGAGGAGCUUGCUCCUCUGAUGUUAGCGGCGGACGGGUGAGUAACACGUGGAUAACCUACCUAUAAGACUGGGAUAACUUCGGGAAACCGUAGCUAAUACCGGAUAACAUGUUGAACCGCAUGGUUCAACAGUGAAAGACGGUCUUGCUGUCACUUAUAGAUGGAUCCGCGCCGCAUUAGCUAGUUGGUAAGGUAACGGCUUACCAAGGCAACGAUGCGUAGCCGACCUGAGAGGGUGAUCGGCCACACUGGAACUGAGACACGGUCCAGACUCCUACGGGAGGCAGCAGUAGGGAAUCUUACGCAAUGGGCGAAAGCCUGACGGAGCAACGCCGCGUGAGUGAAGAAGGUCUUCGGAUCGUAAAACUCUGUUAUUAGGGAAGAACAAAUGUGUAAGUAACUAUGCACGUCUUGACGGUACCUAAUCAGAAAGCCACGGCUAACUACGUG